GGGGCUGACUGGAAUUGACAGCUUGUGCAGGUCGCGAGUAAGCGUGUCAGGAGUUGAAUGGAUCUCCUGUUAAAAAGUCAUUCAAACAGUAAAUGGCGAGUAUAGCUACGCCAUGGCUGCUUAGUCUAGGUACUAAGUAAUGCCAUCGUUCCGCAUCCGUCUUCCUUUUCACGGGUGAGCACGGGACGUCGUAAGUAAAGGGAUAGUUUGGGCAGAGGUGUGAUGCUCAGGCGAAAACAACUGCAUCUAAGGGAAAUUCAAAGGCCUGAUGUGCGCCCGGAUUUCCCCGACAAUUCAAGCAUAGAUACACACGUAGAAAGCUCGUCGGUUUCCUUGUCUGGACCAGGGUUCGAAUCCCUGCAGCUCCACAU
Hymenobacter roseosalivarius DSM 11622 is the source of this 371-nucleotide non-coding RNA. It matches the Rfam family "transfer-messenger RNA". Rfam says of the family: Bacterial tmRNA, also known as 10Sa RNA or SsrA, is named for its dual tRNA and mRNA-like properties. Its role is to liberate the mRNA from a stalled ribosome. The record is from Rfam. Lineage: Bacteria; Pseudomonadati; Bacteroidota; Cytophagia; Cytophagales; Hymenobacteraceae.